ACAGCAUUCCAGAAGUCUUUAGGGGCACAGAAUCUGAAGAGAUUACUCAGGCCAAAAGUUUCCUUGAUGAAAUUGAGAAACAUUUUGCUAAAAACGAUAAGAUUGAGAUGACAUCACUUCUGACUUCUUUGAUGUCUAUGAAGUAUAAAGGUUAAGGAAACGUAAGGGAGUACAUUAUGGAGAUGUUCCAUACUGCUUCAAGACUUAAGGCACUUAAGAUCGAGCUUUCUGAGGAAUUGCUUGUUCUUACGAUUUUGGUAUCGCUUCCUGCACAGUUUAACCAAUUUAAAAUUAGUUAUAACUGUCAAAAAGAGAAAUAGACCCUAAAUGAGCUCAUUUCUCAUUGUGUGCAAGAGGAAGAAAGGUUGAAGCGUGAUAAGUCUGAAAGUGCUCAUUUGGCCAAUUCCCCUAAGGACAAGGGCAAGAGAAAAAAAUAUCAGAAUGAAGCUGCUAAGGGUCCAGCCCAAAAGAAACAACAAGCUACAGAGAGUUGUUUUUUUGUAAUAAGUCUGAACACGUAAAGAAAGAUUGUACCAAAUAUCAUGCUUGGUGUGUAAAGAAAGGUAUAAUUCUUAAUUUGGUCUGUUCUGAGAUUAAUUUAGCUUCAAUACCUAGAAACACUUGGUGGAUAGAUUUCGGUGCUACUACUUACAUAAGUGUUUCUAUGCAGGGUUGCCUGAGUUACCGAAAGCCAAGUGAUGGUGAAAGGCACAUCUUUGUGGGCGAUGGAAAAUCGGUAGAAGUGGAAGCAAUUGGGCAUUUUAGGUUUUUAUUAGGAACUGGUUUUUAUUUGAAUUUAAAAGACACUUUUAUUGUACCGUCAUUUAGACGGAAUUUAGUUUCUGUUUCUUCGUUGGACAAAUUUAGAUAGUAUUGUUCAUUCGGAAACAAUCAAUUUAAUUUGCCUUUAAAUUCAAAUGUUAUUGGAACUAGUUAUUUAAAUACUUAUGACAACCUUUAUUUGCUAGAAACAGUUGUAUCCUAUAAUGAAACCUUGCAUGUGGAAUCACGGGGUAUUAAACGCCAAUUAAAUAAGGAAAAUUCAGCAUCAUUAUGUCAUAAGCGCUUAGGUCAUAUCUCAAAAGUUAGAAUUGAACGCCUUGUGUCUGAUGGUAUUUUAAAGUCCCUUGACUUCACAAACUUUGAUGUUUGUGUCGAUUGCAUCAAGGGAAAACAGACCAAAACCAAGAGAUUGGGUGCCAAUAGAUCUUCAGACGUCUUAGAAUUAAUUCAUACAGAUAUUUGUGGGCCAUUCCCUACGGCAUCAUGGAAUGGUUAACAAUAUUUCAUAACAUUUAUAGAUGAUUACUCACGUUAUGGGUACCUAUAUCUCAUUCAUGAAAAAUCUUAGUCUUUGGACGUGUUCAAAACUUGUAAAGCUGAAGUUGAGAAUCAACUCAACAAAAGGAUUAAAAACGUUAGAUCUGAUCGUGGUGGUGAGUACUACGGUAGAUAUGAUGGCUCAAGUAAACAAUGUCCAGGACCAUUUGCGAAAUUCCUAGAGGAAUGUGGUAUUGUCCCACAGUACACCAUGCCAGGAUCACCUAGUAUAAAUGGUGUAGCUGAAAGACGAAACAGAACUCUUAAGGAUAUGGUAAGUAGCAUGAUUGCUCAUUCUACCUUACCUGAGUCCCUCUGGGGAGAAGCAUUAAAGACAACAGCUUACAUUCUGAAUAGAGUACCCAAUAAAGCAGUUGCAAAAACACCUUAUGAGCUAUGGACAGGUCAAAAGCCUAGUCUAAAGCACUUUCACAUUUAGGGAUGUCCAGUUGAGGCAAGGCCUUAUAGGCCUCAUGAAAAGAAAUUGGACUCCAAAAUAAGCAGCUACUUUAUUAGCUAUUCUGAGCGAUCUAGAGGCUAUAAGUUUUACGAUCCCAUAAUAUAAAAUAUUUUUGAGACAGGAACUACAUUUUUUGAGGAUGUUAAGUUUGGGGGAAGAAAUAAGGUUAGAGACAUUACUUUUAAUGAGGAAUUGGAUUCUAACUCAAUUUUAUAUAAUUAUAUAAACAAACAAAACAUAGAUAUGAAUCAAUUUCUAUAUAUAUAUAUAUUUAUUUUUAUAUAUUUUAAAUGUCAUAUGGAUUAAAAUAAUAAUAAUCACAUGCCUUGCAAAUACACAGGAAUUGAAUCGUAAUAUUUUUAAAUAAAACUUAAAAACGUAGGUAUCAAAUAAUAUUACCCAAUUUUAUUAUAAAAAUCACCCAAUUUUUUGCUCUGAUACCAAAAUAAAAUUAGAGACAUUACUUUUGAGGAGGAAUUGGAUUCUAACUCAAUUCCUACUAUCACUUUUGAUGAUGUUCAGGUUCUUAUACCUAUCAUUGAUCAAGAAAUGAAUCUAUAACCUCUACAAGAUAAUGUUGAACAACUCCCCAUUCAAAAUGAGGUAAUUGUUCCAGAAGAACAAACUCAACAACCUCAAGAACAAGUGCCAUUAAGAAGGUCCACAAAAGAAAAGAGAAAUGCUAUUCCAGAUGAUUAUAUUGUAUGUCUCCAAGAACAUGAGGAUGAUAAUGGAAUGAUAGAAGAUGAUCCAAUCAACUUUCAUCAGGCCAUGAAAAGUUCUAAUUCUCAAAAGUGGAUUGAUGCCAUGAAAGAUGAGUAUAAAUCUAUGCAAGAUAAUAAAGUUUGGGAACUUGUCUCAUUACCUAAAGGUGAAAAACCAAUUGGUUGUAAAUGGAUAUUUAAAACCAAGAGGGAUGCAAAUAGUAAUGUGGAAAGGUAUAAGGCACAUCUUGUAGCUAAAGGAUAUACUCAGAAACAAGGCAUUAAUUUUACAAAGACUUAUCCAGUUUCAUCGAAAGAUUCAUUUAGGAUAAUCAUGGCACUUGUUACUCAUUUUGAUCUUGAGUUACAUUAGAUGGAUGUUAAGACUGCGUUUCUUAAUGGCGACAUUGAAGAACCAAUUUAUAUGGUGCAAUUAGAAAAUUUUGAGUCGAAAGACUCAAAGAAUAUGGUUUGCAAAUUGACAAAAUCCAUCUAUGGACUCAAACAAGCUUCCCGUCAAUGGUACCACAAGUUUUAUCAAUUAAUUAUUUCGUUCGGUUUUGAAAUGAAUAUUGUUGAUGAUUGUGUGUAUCACAAAUUCAAUGGGAGUAAGUACAUAUUUCUGGUUCUAUAUGUUGAUGACAUUUUGCUUACCACUAAUGAUAUAGGCUUACUGCACGAAACCAAGAUAUUUUUAUCCAAGCAUUUUGAGAUGAAAGAUUUUGGGGACGCCUCUUUUGUUUUAGGAAUUCAGAUACAUCGAGAUCGAUCUCAAGGUAUUCUUGGAUUAUCACAAAAGAGCUAUAUCGAUAAAGUACUCAAAAGGUUUGACAUGCAGAAUUGUAGACCAGGUGACACCCCUGUCGCUAAAGGAGACAAAUUUAGUCUUACUCAAUUCCCUAAAAGUAACCUUGAAAUUCAUGAAAUGCAAAAGAUUCCCUAUGCAUCAGCUGUUGGGAGUUUAAUGUAUGCUCAAGUAUGUACGUGUCCGGACAUUGCAUACAUCGUUGGGAUGUUAGGCAGAUAUUUAAGCAACCCUGGUAUAGACCAUUGGACAGCAGCCAAAAGGGUUAUGAGAUAUCUUCAGAGAACAAAAGAUUACAUGUUUACUUAUAAGAGAUCAAAUCUUUUGGAGGUCAUAGGGUAUUCUGAUUCUGAUUUCGCUGGAUGCCAAGAUAGUAGGAAAUCUACAUCAGGCUAUAUUUACCUGUUAGUCGGAGGAGCUAUAUCUUGGAAAAGUGUUAAAGAGACACUUGUAGCUUCGUCCACUAUGGCAGCAGAGUUUGUAGCAUGCAAUGAGGCAUCAAAACAUGGAAUAUGGUUGCGGAACUUUGUCACAGGGCUGCACAUUUCGGAGAAUGUAAAAAGACCACUCAAAUUAUUUUGUAACAUUAAGUCAGCAGUGCUGUAUUCCAAUAACAACAGGAGUUCAUCUAAGUCAAAGCAUAUUGACAUAAAGUUCCUAGUUGUAAAAGAAAGAGUGCAAAAUGGUCAAAUCUCAAUAGAGCACAUUGGGACAAACUCCAUGAUAGCGGAUCCGCUCACAAAAGGUUUACCACCCAAGGUCUUUCAUGAGCACACUGCUCACAUGGGUGUUACAUUGUUUGAUGAUAUCAUGAUUUAGUGGGAGUUUAUAUUUCAGACAUGUAUUUAGUUAUUUUCUGAUCAGAAAUAAAGUAUUCAGUUUAUUCACUCAGUUUAUUAUUUUGAAAUUGACCUCACUUAAGUUUAAGGAAGGACUAGUUGGAAAUAGACAUGUUUAGAUCAUAUUGCAUGCAAUUUCCAUGCUACACAUCCAUACUUGAUCUAUGUCAUUUGGUUGUGUUAAUAUACGUGAUCAUGGAUGGAUUUAGUUACAAUAUUUGUAACGAAAGUCGCCUUGGUUCUAUGUUAACAUAAUUAAUGGACGAGAUUGUACGGAAUGCCUUUUGGAUAUGAUAGUAAAAAUUUUGAGCUCAUAAGGUUAUAUAAUGACAUGUAAUUAUAAAGUAAUUAGUAUAUAUAUGUGGUCCAAGUGGGAGAUUGUUGGAAAAUUUGGACAUCACAUAUAUAAUAAGGAUAAUUACAUAUUAUUUACUAUCAUGAUAGGUUAGCCCCAAAUUAAAAGUGAUCUAAUUUGGUUAGAAUUUUAUUGGGCUUUUAAUUAUUAAAUAAAUAAAGUGUGGGUCAAAUAUGUGUAGAUACUCUUCUAAUCAAAUUCUAAUUAAUGAUGGGCUAAUUAGAAUUUGAUUAGAACUAAUAUGCUAAGGUUAUAAAUAUUAGGGUUAUGGUCCCCAAAUUAUACACAAGAUAUCUUUCCUAAUAUCCCAUAAUUAGGAAAGAAAGAGCAAAUAUUCUCUGAGUUUCUUGUGUGCUAAUUUGGAAGAUCAAAUCCCCAAGUUCCAGAAAGUUUCAAGGAAUCCAUGGAUUCAGAUACGUUUCGCUUCCAUAUCUAGUUUUGUUCUUGAUUUAUUCUUAAUGAUUUGACAUGACAGAUCCUGAUUUAUUAAGUUAUAUUGUAGAUUUAUUUUAUAAAUUCUAACAAGUGAUUCGAUAUGACGAGGCUCUGAUACCACUUGUUAGAAUUUAUAAAAUAAAUCUACAAUAUAACUUAAUAAACCAGGAUCUGUCAUGUCUAAUUAUUAAGAAUAAAUCAAGAACAAAACUAGAUGCGAAAGCGUACCUGAAUCCAUGGAUUCCUUGAAACUUUCUAGAACUUGGGGAUUUGAUCUUCUAAAUUCGCACACAAGAAACUCAGAGAAUAUCUACUCUUUCUUUCCUAAUGAUGGGAUACUAGAAAAGAUAUCUUGUGUAUAAUUUGGGGACGAUAACCCUAAUAUUUAUAACCUUAGCAUAUUAGUUCUAUCAAAUUCUAAUUAGCCCAUCAUUAAUUAGAAUUUGAUUAGAAGAGUAUCUACAAAUAUUUGACCAAUACUUUAUUUAUUUAAUAAUUAAAAGCCCAAUAAAAUUCUAACCAAUUAGAUCACUUUUAAUUUGAGCUAACAUAUCAUGAUAGUAAAUAAUAUGUAAUUAUCCUUAUUAUAUAUGUGACGUCCAAAUUUUCCAACAUGAAGAACUAGCAAAUUUGAAUAUAUCCAAUGAUGAAGAGGAUACUAUAGAAGGGCAACAAAUCGAAGAAGAAGAGGAUGAGGAAUAUGAAUUAUGCUUGGUUGGGAGGGUAUUAACUAAAAGUGUGGUACACAUUCCUUCCUUGAGACAGGUGCUAGCAGAAGUAUGGCAUCCAGUGGGCGGAAUUUCUAUUACAAACUUAGGGGAAAAAAGAACUUUUUUUAGGUUUUAUCAUUAGAUCAAUAUUAAAAGGGUUAUCAAGGGUACACCGUGGUUCUUCAACAGUCACCUAAUUUUGUUUCAAUGAUUGGAGAAGGGGGAACGCUCGCUGCAAGUACCAUUAUAUUUUACAGAGUUGUGGGUACAAAUACAUUAUCUACCGGGAGGUUUCAUGUCUGAAGGAAUGGCACGUCAACUUGGUAAUUUUAUUAAAAAAUUCAUGGAGUCUGAUGUGGCUUUAGUAACUAGGGGAAUUAAAAAAUUUAUGAGGGUAAGAGUUAUGUUGGAUGUUCGAAAACCCCUAAAAAGAAAGAAAAUGAUAGCUAUUUGUCAAAAUGAAACAACAUACGCUAUGUUUCAAUACAAAAAGCUUUCAUUAUUUUGCUAUCUAUGUGGCAAAUUGAAGCAUGGAGAAGGUUUCUGUCCAGUUAGAUUAACGUUAGAAUCAUAAGAAGUUACUUUUGGAUGGGAUCUAUCAAUAGAGUGUUGAUAAGAAUAAGACAAAUGGAAGAUUACAAGUGGCUAAGAGAAGAUAGAUCGGAUUCCAAAUCGGUCGUUGGGGGAAAAUUAAGAGAAAAUGGAGAGAGAUUGGCUUGAGUUAAUCCAAGCCUUAGCCCACAUUAAUGACAACACUAGGUUAGAAGGGAUAACUUAUGGAGGAGAGGAUGUGAGUUAUAUGGAGCUUGGAUCAAACCUAGAGGAAAUUCCUAUUAAAAAAGAUAAAGGUUGUCUUCAAUGAGUUCUAUUGUUUCUCAUUUAGUGGAUUCAAAAAAUUCUCCUAUUAUAUCAGCAGCUGCUGAAAAGUAGACCGACCGAUCACAAUGAAACUACUAAGUUUGAAUGCCCAUGGAUUAGGGCACCCACGGGAAGUAAGGCAUCUCAAAAACAAAGUGAGACAUAUUCAACCCUAGGUUUGGUUUCUCAUGGAAACCAAAGUAAGUGUAAGAAAGAUGGAACGAAUUUGAAGAAAGUGUGGUUUGCAAAAUGGCAUUGAUGCGGAUGCCACUAAAUGGGGACUAUAGUUGGGUUGGAAGCAAGAGUGUAACAUUCAAUUACGAAGCUUUUCAUCGUCACAUAUUGAUGUUAAAAUAACAGAAGUGGAAGGUGCAAAAGUAUGGAGAUUUACGAGAUUUUAUGGAUCACUAGAGGAACCCUGCAGGAGGGAUUGUUGGAAUAUUCUAUGACAUUUAAAUAAUACCAACAACCUACCCUGGUUAGUGGUAGGAGACUUUGAUGAAAUUCUUUUCCUUUUUAAAAGAAAGGAGGGUGUCAACGAGAAGUGAAUCAAAUGUUGGCAUUCUGCCAAGUCUUAGACGAUUGUAAUCUCAUAGAUAUAGGAUUUUUGGGUUAGUGGUUUACAUGGGAGAAAGGGAAACUUCAGAAUAAUAACAUAUGUGAAAGGCAUGAUAAAUGAGUGUGAACCUAGAAUGGUGAACUAUAUUUCCAAAUUUUUGUGUAAGACACCUUACACAUUCUAAGUCGUAUCACUGCCCAAUUCUUGUUAAUACAUUGGAUAGUAGUUCAAAGCAGAAGGGACAAUAACAACCAAAAUUCAGAUUCAAUGCGUAUUUGGUAAUUGAAGAAGGCCUUGAAAGUGAAAUACAAAAGUAGUGGGAAGAAGACAAAAGGGAGGUUCCUACUAAACUAGAAGCAAUAGGAGCAAAACUAAACAAUUGGGCUCAGGCAAAUCAGUUGGGAAGGCAACGUCACGCAACCUAUUGAAGUGUGAGAUUAGAAGAAUUAAAUACGAAUACUCCAGAUGAAAAAAAUUUGGCAGAAUUAACAAAGAUAAAGCUUGCACUAAACUUAAAAGCAUACAAUGAGGAGUUAUUUUGGGAACAAAUUGGUUACGUUUUGGACAUAGGAACACAUCAUAUUUCCAUAACAUUGUGUCGGCUAAAAAGAAAAAAAAACACAAUUCAGGAGCUUAAGAACGAUAGUGGGGAAUAGGUUCAAGAUGAGAAAAAUAUGGCAAACAUUGCCACCGACUAUUUCAAAUAGUUGUUUAUGGCUUCUUCUAGAAGAGAUAGCACUCGAGCGUUAAUAGAAAUUCAAUCAUGCAUUAAUGAAGUCAAUAAGGUAGAGUUGACAAUGGAGUUUAAGAAUAAGGAGAUUGGGAGGAAGUUAAAAUAAUGUCGCCAAUGAAAGCUUCUGGAGAUGACGGUUUCCUAGCUUCAUUUCAUUAGAGAUAUUUGAGUAUCUUAGGAAAUGAGAUCAACCAUAAAAAUAUCGUGUUUAUCCCAAAGACUAAUUCACCAACAAGCAUGACUUAUUUCAGACCAAUAAUCCUUUGCAAUGUGCUAUAUAGAAUACUAUCCACGGUUAUUGUCAACAGGUUUAGAAUAGUAUUGGACAAAUGUAUUGAUGAAGCUCAAGUAGCGUUUGUGCCUAGAAGACAAAUAAAGAUAAUAUUCUUGUAGUUUAUGAGAUAUUACAUUCUUUCAAGAGGAGGAAAUAUGGAUCUCAAGGUUUUUUUUCUUUAAAAUUAGAUAUGAGCAAAGCCUAUGAUAGAGUAGAGUAGUGCUUUUUGCAAAAAAUAAUUACUAAAAUGGGCUUUUGCAAUUAAUGGAUUGAAUUAGUUAUGACAUGUGUGGCUACGACUUGGGGAUCCAUUAAGUCUGUAUUUAUUUCUAUUAUGUGCUGAAGGUUUUUCAAGUCUAUUUAGGGAAGCUAAGUGGGAGAGCUUGAUAAAAAGGGCAAAGGUUGGUAGAAGUAGUCCACAUAUCCAAUAACCCAAAAAAGUACCUUGGUUUGCCAACAAUGGUGGGUAGAAAAAAGAAAGAUGCACUCACUAACUUAAAGGAAAGAUUUGUUAAGUGAAUAGAGAGCUAGAACACAAGGCAACUGUUAAUGGGAGGGAAAGAGGUAUUCAUCAAAUCAAUUUUAUAGGCAAUUCCUAUUUAUGCAAUGCAUAACUUCUUAUUACCAAGUUCUUUAUGCCGUGAAUUAAAUAGCAUGAUUGCAAAAUUUUGGUGGUGUAAUGCAAACACGAAGAAGGCUAUACAUUGGUGCCAAAGGAGAAUGGUCUCUCAACCUAAAGGGAAAGGUAGGUUAAGAUUUAAAGAUUUGUCCAAAUUUAAUAUAGUUUUGCUCAUGAAGCAAGGGUGGAGAUUAAUGUCGAAGCCCGAUUGUUUGUUAGCAAAGGUUAUGAAAGAAAAAUACUAUUCGAACACAGAUUUCAUGAAUGCAAGUAUAAGCUCUUACCUAUCAUAUACCUGGUGUAGUAUAUAGGCAUCUAGAAGGUUUUUGGAAUAGGGUUGUGGUUGGCGUGUGGGAAAUGGUGCAAACAUCAACAUAUGGACUGACAGUUGGUUGUUAGAGCCUGGACAAGAAAGAAUUCAAAGACAUGAAAUUAAUGCAAGAUAUACAAGGGUCGCUGAUUUAAUUGAAACAUGUUCGCCUUUAUGGAAAGAAGAAAUUAUUGAAAAUCUAUUUUAUGAGGAAACCGCACGAAGGAUACUAGAUAUACUUUUCUCAAGCUGUGAUCAGAAUGACCAUUUGGUCUGGAAAGGUGACAAUUUAGGGAUUUACUCAGUCAAAAAUGGGUACAGGUGGCUCAAAGCAACAGAUACAACUGCCAAUGAUGAUCCAAACAAGUUACAAGAAUUACUCUUUACAAAAAUAUAGAGCCUAAGUCUAGCUAGAAAAAUAAAAAUUACAUGUUGGAAAAUAAUUAGCAAUUACAUCCCCACACUAUUUAAUUUACAACAAAGAAGAAUUGGAGUACAAAACUUAUGCCUAGUUUGUCGAAGUGAUGGAGAAUUUAUUAAGCAAACCUUUCGUGAGUGUCCUUUCACGGAACAAGUCCUGCAACGUAUGGAAGUAACAUAGUCGACCAACAAUGAGAAUCAAAAUUGGAAAAUUUGGUUAGAUGCCGAGUUAUUAAUAGGAAAUACACUAUUACUAAGAAAAAUUGUAGUUAUAUUCUGGGCCUUAUGGUACAAUCGUAAUAGGGUAUAUCAUAAUGGAACACGACAAAAUGUUUUUGGAGUAGUUUCUUUCAUAAAUGCUUACAUAUUAGAGAUUAAUAGUAUGGGUAUUAUAUCGAAAGGUAUGCAAGAGGAUUAGGAGACUGUUUGCCAACCAAUGGAAGGAGAUAAUGUCAAAAUUAAUGUUGAUGCAUGUUGUAAUAAUCACAUAAACAAUUCAGUUUCAGGGAUUAUUCUAAGAAACAAUGGAAGUCAUAUAAUGGCAACAAGAACUUAUCCAAAUAUACAUGUGAUAGAUGCGACAAUUGUAGAAGUAUGAGCAUGUGUUCAGGCUCUAAUCUUUGCUGAAGAGCUAGGAAUUCAGAAAAUAGUGGUUGAAAGGGAUUUAUUAACUGUAAAAAAAAGUGGUGGCUACAAAGGAAGAUGAACUAGUCAAUGCAGCUUUGAUCAAAGAAAGUAAAGAGAGAAUAAAUAAUUUUGAAUCAGUAAAGUUUAGAUUCGUACCUCGUUCAGCGAAUUGAGUAGCACAUGAAAUGGCACAAGAAGGAAAACUCUUCGACUCUUCGAUGUUCUAGAUUGAGGAAGCACUAAAAAAAUUGGAAAGUAUAGCAGAUCUGGACAGAGGGAGAAUGGGCAGAGAAGAAUGUUCGAGAAUAUUUGAGUAAAAUGACAAAAAUGUGAGGUUAAGUGUGUUAAAAUCAAAAAAAUAAGGAUGGAAGGAUCAGAGAAUGGUUAUUAGAAACAGUCUUACCAAAAAGAAGGUAGAUCCACUCCUGUUGCAAUCACUGAUGAAGAGACGAAUAUGAGAUAGGAAGAAGGUAGACGAUUUGGUUACCGACUGGAUUUCUUUGCUUUCGUUUUGGAUUAGGAUUUUUAGGGUUUAAAAUUUUUUCUUUUAGGGGUAACUUUAGUGGAGAUUUAAUUUUUCUUUAUUAAGUUAGGGGACACCGACCUUAAUGGCAAUUUGUUUUGAGACAGCUGGUAAUAAGUGGGUUUGUAACCCUUUUUUUCUUCCAAUCAAUGUAUUAGUCAAAUUUUCCUUC
This 10723-nucleotide long non-coding RNA is filed under the name Gossypium barbadense (sea-island cotton). RNAcentral's name for it is "long non-coding RNA (GBAR_LNC010464)". The record is from RNAcentral. Lineage: Eukaryota; Viridiplantae; Streptophyta; Magnoliopsida; Malvales; Malvaceae.